Molecule: non-coding RNA, 168 nt
Organism: Cajanus cajan (pigeon pea)
Lineage: Eukaryota; Viridiplantae; Streptophyta; Magnoliopsida; Fabales; Fabaceae
Source: RefSeq, a predicted model, not a curated record
AUCCUUACCUAGAUGAAAUCAAUGAAUGAUCAGUAAGGUCCAUGAUUUAGGACAAUGACUUCUGGUUUAGGACAAUAACUUCCAUUGUACUUGGGAAUGGUGUUAUAUUAAGGUUUAUCUAAGUGGUGAGAACUACAUCAUAAUUUGUGAUAACUAAGGUCUAUCUAC